Long non-coding RNA from Chinchilla lanigera (long-tailed chinchilla), 2419 nucleotides. RefSeq lists it as uncharacterized. NCBI's taxonomy places the organism in Eukaryota, Metazoa, Chordata, Mammalia, Rodentia, Chinchillidae. The record is from RefSeq and is a predicted model, not a curated record. The transcript has 3 exons.
UCCCAGGCGGCCUGGUUUCAGGAGUCACCCUGGUGGCACGAGUCACCGCCACCCAGAGAGGCACAGGUUGGAAGACCUUGUGCUCGGGUGAGCACGCUGGCUGCGCGCAGGUGUGUUUGGUGCAGUGUCCAGGGCAACCGUGGCUCAGCCACCUUUAGGUUAGGGUCUCCGUGGUAACGAAAUGGAGGGCAACAAGUGCAGCACACAGGGCUGUUCAGUCUCACGCACAAGCCGGGCUGGAUCCCGCUGGGUUUGUCGUUUUGAGGCAGGGUCUCGCUGUGCAGUGCAGGCUGGCCUUGAGCUCAUUCUUGUAGCCGAGGCCGGUCUGAACUCACGACGGCCCUCCUGCCUCAGCCUCCCAAGCCUGGGAUUACAGGCAUGCGCCCCCACGCCCAGCUUCCGCGAGUGUUUGCCCGCGCCGACUCAGCCUCAUUCACCUUCGGACAUGGCUGCCCAGCCAGCCCCUCCGUGCCCAGGAGUGAGCCCCAGCUCUGUGGGGAGCUGUCCUCUGUGGAAACCAACUUAUCCUCUUCUAUUUCGAGGUUACUUGGCUGGCCUUGAAUUCCUAGUGAUCCUCCUGCCUCAGCCUCCUGCGUUCUGGGAUCAUGGGUGUGUACCACCAUGCCUUGCUUCUAUGCAUCAUUAAAAAAUGGUCUCGUUGAUCCGGUGGGUGCUGGUUCCUUUCUCUCUGUAUUUCAGAGGUGAAAGGCAGAGGAAAAUACGUGCAAAUGCAAGUUCUCAUCCUGCAAACGGCUUAGCUGCAACCGCCUUGCCGACUACUGUCUGCGACUCGCUGUCCAGCUUCCUUGGCAACUUGGCUGCUCCUGGCCCAUGUGGUUCGGACUCCAUGUACCCAGCAUCUGUCUAGGUCUUGUCCAAAUCUUUGCUCAAGAUGACAAGAACCUGGGAAGAGUCUCUCAAAAGAGUCCAUAGAACCCCAGAAUCCUGGAACAACCUGGCAUCCUGGUGGGCCUGGGACACCUAUGCUCCCCCCUGAGAACUUAGGGAGUCUUCCUGAACCCCAGUUUUAUCUGUCAAAUGAGGGCUUUAGAGUGAGUGAAUUGAGGACUUUUGUUACCGAAAGCUGACCACACUUCUGCCUGUUCUGCAUCACCGUCUCCUGCCUACCAGGGGCUCCUCCGCGGGCCCGGGCCUCUUUUCCUGGCUGUAGGGUGAGGUGAGGGGUGGCAGGCGCUCCCCGGCGUGUUGGGAAAGCGCAGCCUGUGAUACCACACAGUGAUGCACCUCCUGGCUGUUACACCAUGCACAAGUCCUUCAGAGCACUCUGGCUCGGGGUUCUGAGUGGAAUCUCACAUCCGUGUGCUGACGAUUCCUGCAAGCUGUAAAGGCACAUACGCAAGCAGCAAGCGUACAGCCCCGAGGACCAAGCCGGCACCCUCUGUGGCCCCUCAAGUGGGUCCACGACUGAAAUCCCAUCUUCAGGCCUGAGUGGGGGCCGACUAGACAAACCCUUUCCUGGUGGCUCUGAUCCUGCACUAACUUGCCUUGCUCAAGAUAUGAAUCACAUGCCUCGUUCUUCCACAGUGUUUGUAAUUCCAAUUGUUCGUUCUAGUUAGGAAACAGCAAAAUCAGAUUAUCCACCGCUGCCCAUUCUAAUGGGGCCAUUGUCCAGGACCAUAACUGCGAAAGGUCACUGGGUUGCCUGAGGCAGGGGUGCGGGUUUGGGUCUGCUUUGACACAGAGCCAAAAAGCCUGGUCAGACCACAGCCUGGCGCCUGGACAAGGUCAGCAGGCACAGCAGGAGGAGGACCGGGUGUGCUCAGCCCUUGCUCUCUGCCACUUUCUCUCUGCUGCUUCCUCCCCUCGAAGCCCGGCCCUAAAGCCCAGGCUGCUCUGGAAGGAGCUGGCCUCUCCAUCCCCAGGCCGCCUGUGGGGUGCUCGGAGCCUGGCACUGUGCCCUGAAUCAGCGCCUGAGCAAAGUCGUCCGUCGUCGUCCCUCGGAUUGAGGUUGAGAGAGAGCUUGGCACAAAUGAUCUGUGACACAGAGCGCUGGACUGAAGGGAGAUGGGGUCCAAGGACCCGCUUCCAUCACAGCAGAGACAGCUAGGAUGAAGAGUCCUACCCUGUGCUAAACGCAGGUGUCUGGGGACAUCUCGGGGGCGAGCUCAUGGGUUCCUCGGUGCCGUCAGGCUCUUGUGUGGAGGCAGAUGUGUUUCUAGAGCAGGGGACCGAGGCCGAAGCUGGAACCACACGAGAAAUGUCACAGACCUGGGGCUGGAAGGGGCUCCAGGACCCUGUCUACCUUUAGUUCCUGCCUUCGGGAGUUUUGAGUCAUGAGCUCACUCAUGCUUGUGUACAAGGUCACCAAGUUCAGCCUGGCGUGGUGGGGCACCUGUUAUCCCAGCAUUCGGGAGGCUAAGGCAGGAGGAUUGCCACGAGUUCAGGCCCAGCUUGGGCU